RNAcentral lists this ribosomal RNA (398 nucleotides) under uncultured bacterium. RNAcentral describes it as "partial 16S ribosomal RNA". It matches the Rfam family "Bacterial small subunit ribosomal RNA", at positions 338 to 734 of the family's 1533-position model. The record is from RNAcentral.
CCUACGGGUGGCAGCAGUGAGGAAUAUUGGUCAAUGGGCGCGAGCCUGAACCAGCCAAGUAGCGUGAAGGAUGACUGCCCUACGGGUUGUAAACUUCUUUUAUAAAGGAAUAAAGUGAGGCACGUGUGCCUUUUUGCAUGUACCUUAUGAAUAAGCAUCGGCUAACUCCGUGCCAGCAGCCGCGGUAAUACGGAGGAUCCGAGCGUUAUCCGGAUUUAUUGGGUUUAAAGGGAGCGUAGGUGGGAGUUUAAGUUAGUGGUGAAAGGUUGGGGCUGAACCGGAAUUGGCCAAUAAAUAUGGGGUACGAGAGUAAAGACGAGGUAGGCGGAAGAAGUGGGGGAGCGGGGAAAUGCUUAGAUAGAACUUAGAAGCACGAGAGCGAAGGAAGAUGACCAGAC